ACCGCCUUUGAGAAAUAAUAAAACCGUCCCGGUUUCUCGCAGCCCGAAAGAGGUCAACAAUAUGAAAGAAAAAGUCAAACAACUCGAGGGCCAAAUAAAUCUCAAGGAAAUAGCGUUAGAACGCGCCGAAGCUUCAUUUCUG
Molecule: long non-coding RNA, 142 nt
Organism: Helianthus annuus (common sunflower)
Lineage: Eukaryota; Viridiplantae; Streptophyta; Magnoliopsida; Asterales; Asteraceae
Exons: 2
Source: RefSeq, a predicted model, not a curated record